Phyllopteryx taeniolatus (common seadragon) is the source of this 759-nucleotide long non-coding RNA. RefSeq lists it as uncharacterized. The record is from RefSeq and is a predicted model, not a curated record. Lineage: Eukaryota; Metazoa; Chordata; Actinopteri; Syngnathiformes; Syngnathidae. The transcript has 3 exons.
UUUCAUGUUGUUAACGCCGGAGGACAGUGAGCCAAAGAGGAUUUUCUUGCGCACCUCCACUUCAUUGAGCAACUUCACAUUCAGAAAAAAUAUUUUUCUUUAUUACCUUGCUCAUUUUCCUUUUUUUCUGAUCAUGCAUAUAUCAGGAUCUCAGGUGCAGGGUUCAUUUAAAUGUGAUUUGCAUAUUCAAAUGUGGGCGUGGAAAGGGAGGAGUCGGCUACUUCAACAUGUGCGCUCAUUCCCUCGUUGAUUGGAAUGUACGAAGGAAAUGUGCUUGGAUUCAUGAGUACGCAGAGUUUCAUACAUCUGGAUAUUUUUGUGCUUAUGACGUUUUCUGGAUUUGAGCGUACGCCAUGUUUUAGUAGGAAAUCCACGCAAGUCUUUGUACAUGAGGCCCCAGGUCUGGCUCAAUGGCAGUGGUAUUGAUGCGCAAGAUGUCACGCAGUUGGCGAGAGAGAGCUGCUGGUGUCGACUGCGGCUCUCGGCGUCACACUGCAGCUCAAUGAGCUCCAGCUGCAACUGGUCAGGAGCAUCAUCAGGUUCCACGGCGAAAGCACAGCAGAGGCAUGCUGGGAUAGCUCGCCUAUCCAUCUCACUCGCCCAGUCUGCCUCCCCCGUUUGCCUCCAUACCAGUGUGACUAAUUAAAUAAAAGCGCCGUCCCCUCUGCUUCUUGAUGGCGCAUCAAGAGUGAGGGAAGGGAACCCGGGGGGUAGAACUUUCUUUGAUGCUGUACAAUGUAUAUCUUACACAAGUCUCGU